RNAcentral lists this ribosomal RNA (253 nucleotides) under uncultured bacterium. RNAcentral describes it as "partial 16S ribosomal RNA". It matches the Rfam family "Bacterial small subunit ribosomal RNA", at positions 524 to 776 of the family's 1533-position model. The record is from RNAcentral.
UACGUAGGGGGCGAGCGUUGUCCGAAGUUACUGGGCGUAAAGCGCGCGUAGGCGGGGGGUUAAGUGGGAGGUGAAAGGCUGGGGCUCAACCUCAGCAGUGCCUCCCAUACUGGCUCUCUUGAGGGCGGUAGGGAGAAGUGGAAUUCCUGGUGUAGCGGUGAAAUGCGCAGAUAUCAGGAAGAACACCCGUGGCGAAGGCGGCUUUCUGGGACGGUACUGACGCUGAGACGCGAAAGCGUGGGGAGCGAACAGG